This 790-nucleotide long non-coding RNA is filed under the name Homo sapiens (human). Its description in RNAcentral is "HSALNT0100124". Lineage: Eukaryota; Metazoa; Chordata; Mammalia; Primates; Hominidae. The record is from RNAcentral.
GUUGGGCUGGUCCAGGAGGAACGAGUCCGAGAACUGGCUGAAGCCGAUGAACAGCGCCGGGAUCCAGAGCUAAUACAUGCAAAGUUCUGACCUCCAUGCCUGGAACAGACAUGGAAACAGCCUCUUCUGUUUGAUGAGAAUCAUCCCAAAGUUGGCAUAUGAAGCUUGAGUUUCAAGUGAAGAAAAACACACAGAUGGAUGUAACCAAAUCUAAAGUUAUUAAACGGAUUUUUUUUUAUGACUGGAAGCUAGCGGGCAACAAGAGGAAUGAAUAUUCCUGAAGGAGGCAGAUUAUUAGACCCAGAGUAUACUUUCUGAGGUACCCUACGCGAAGGAAGGAUCAUUGCACCAUUACGGAGACGAGGAUACAAACUGUCAGGCCUCUGAGCCCAAGCUAAGCCAUCACAUCUCCUGUGACCUGCACAUAUACAUCCAGAUGACCUGAAGCAAAUGAAGAACCACAAAAAAUAACAUUCCACCAUUGUGAUCUGUUCCUACCCACCCUAACUGAUCAAUUGACCUUAUGACAAUACCCCCUCCCCGCCCUUGCAAUAAUAUACUUUGUCAUACUCCCCCGCCCUUAAGAAGGUACUUUGUAAUAUUCUCCCCGCCCUUGAGAAUGUACUUUGUGAGAUCCACCCCCUGCCUAUAAAAAAUUGCUCCUAACUCCACCGCCUAUCCCAAACCUAUAAGAACUAAUGAUAAUCCCAGCACCCUUUGCUGACUCCUUUCUUGGACACAGCCUGCUUGCACCCAGGUGAAAUAAACAGCCUUGUUGCUCACACAAAGC